Molecule: ribosomal RNA, 654 nt
Filed under: Triticum aestivum (bread wheat)
Lineage: Eukaryota; Viridiplantae; Streptophyta; Magnoliopsida; Poales; Poaceae
Description: partial small subunit ribosomal RNA
Source: RNAcentral
AUGAACAAAGCUGUGCAGGCCAGGUGGCCUUGGUUACAGAGAUCAGACACAUCGCGACCAUGGGCAGAGUUUGACAUCACAGUACCAAAAGCUUCAACACAACUCUUCAACGCGGCCGCUCACUGGACUCUCGGCGACGGGAAUACAACACUCUUUUGGGAAGAUAGAUGGCUCGACGGACACCGGAUCGUUGAGAUUGCACCCUUGACCUACGGCCGAGUCAGGAAGAAAACGAGGAACACAUGCACCGUAGCCCAGGCCCUACUGAAUGACGGUUGGGUCGCCCAAGUAAGCCCGGAGGUAUCAGCUGACUCGCUAAGGGAAUAUCUACAGCUAUGGAACAUGAUCCAAGAACUUCAACUUGACCCAGCGCAACAUGAUACCAUCACUUGGUCAUGGGAAACAAGCGGAUGCUAUUCAGCGAGGACUGCCUAUGCAGCCAAAUUCUGGGGCAGGCAGGUCGUCCCCACGGCCGAAUUCACGUGGAAAUCUAGAGCACCGGCGCCCUGCCGCUUCUUCACAUGGCUGGCAAUCCAGGAUAGGUGCUGGACGUCCGAUCAGCUGGCAAGACGAGGGCUCGAUCAUCAGGACUGCUGCCCAAUGUGCAGCCAAGCAAAGGAGAGCAUAAACCACAUUUUGCUCCAGUGUGUCGUC